CAGUAGCCGCGGUAAUACGAAGGGGGCUAGCGUUGCUCGGAAUUACUGGGCGUAAAGGGAGCGUAGGCGGAUCGUUAAGUUGGGGGUGAAAGCCCGGGGCUCAACCUCGGAAUUGCCUUCAAUACUGGCGAUCUUGAGUAUGGAAGAGGUAUGUGGAACUCCGAGUGUAGAGGUGAAAUUCGUAGAUAUUCGGAAGAACACCAGUGGCGAAGGCGACAUACUGGUCCAUUACUGACGCUGAGGCUCGAAAGCGUGGGGAGCAAACAGGAUUAGAUACCCCCGUAGUCCCUGUCUCUUAUAC
RNAcentral lists this ribosomal RNA (301 nucleotides) under uncultured bacterium. RNAcentral describes it as "partial 16S ribosomal RNA". It matches the Rfam family "Bacterial small subunit ribosomal RNA", at positions 509 to 807 of the family's 1533-position model. The record is from RNAcentral.